GUGGCGAUCGUAGCCCUCUACGAUCCCUAUGAGAUCCUCGCGGCCGAACUCCACUCGCUGGAAUCCUACCUCAUCGGCUGCGACGGUGAAGGAGGAGAACGAGAGAUGGUGAUCAUUUUUUUUUUCCCUUUCUAUUUGUAAUUGAGCCGAUCAGGCUGGGUGGGGUUAGUUGAGUAGAAGAACUUUUUAUUUUUGAUUGGAUUGAGCUUUAUAUUUAGGUUUUAAUAGAUUUUUAAAAAAGUUUAGUCAUAAAUGGGACACUUACACAAAAAUAUCCGAAACAGGCUGGGUGGGGUUCGUUGAGUAGAAGAACUUUUUAUUUUUGUAUUGGAUUGAUCUUUAUAUUUAGGUUUUAGUCGAUUUUUAUUAAAGUUUUAGUCAUAAAUAGGAGACUUGCACAAAAAUAUCCGAUUUUUGUAUUCUUAUAAGCUAAAACUAUCGAAAUAAAUAUAUGGCAUUCCUAUUCCAUACUCUAAACUAGGUGAAUCAAACAUGCCCAUAAUGUCAUUUUUGAAUAAGAAAUAACUUCAUAUUAGCCAACACGGCAACACAUAAUACUGCACGUCUAUAUAUAGUGCAAUAAGUUUAGUCUACUUAUUUUUAAGUAAUUGUUCUCAACAUAUGUCAAUCGAAAGUGUAUGUUUGACAUAGUUAUGAAUUAAUAGUGACAAAAUAAAAUUUACAAAUUUACAAGGGCAAUAUGAUAGUAAAUAACUUUUGAGGGACUUGUUUGAAAUUGCCCUAAAACUCUAUUAUUUUAACAGGAUGCUACUCAAACCUAAUCAAGCACCUACUCAAGUGACUCAAGAGUCGGUAUUACAUAUAUUGUAUAAGGAAAAAAAAAUAAAUUACUAUGAUAUUUCAUAAAGAAGGAAUUUAUAAUUACAGAAUGGCUAAUGUUAAAGAAUAGCAAAUGCUAAAGGACAGCUAAUAUGGAAAAGAACAAUUAGCGAUAAAGAAUGGCUAAGAGUAAAGAAUGAUUAAGAAUAAUGAGAAGAAUUAACUAAUCUACUUGCAUGAGUUACAGGAACUGCAUAAUGUUCAUAUUGUAUAUUGUGAGACAUGUUAUCUGUAAGUUGCGUCAUAACAUGAUGCUAUAUAUAUCGGUAGAUGUUUUUUUGGACUAACAUGAUUACAGUGCCUCCUUAAACCUAUUGGUCGAGUUUUUUUCUUGGGUGGCCGUAUCCACUGGGAACCAUGGAGUUUGUUCUUACCUCACAUUGUUUUGCGGUGUUACAGGUUCACACGUGAGUGGCACAACGGCGCGAGGCAAGGGCGUAGCUCCGUAGAUAGUGCCCUACCCAGAAACCAGAGAUAGCAGUACCCCAAGUCGGCAUAGCCUAGGGGUAGAGGGAAAAGAAAAAGAACAAGUUGUAAUAAAUUCUAAGAUCUUGAUUGUAUUUGGAAGUUGAUUGAAAAAGGAAAUUGUGAUGUAAAAAUGUAUCUAGUGUGAAUGCUUGUAAUAGCAAGUAGAUUUAUGUUUUUGAUAUUUCCUUAUGCAAUCUUUGGUUGAAAUGUGUUCCUGGUUGGAACUUCGUACAUUGUAUUGAUUGCGACGCUUUGGACGUACAGGGGAGACUCUGUCCGCGGUACAGGAAAAAUCCUGUCCGUUCGGCGGUCUGUUGGCGUGCCCGAACCCGACCAAAUAGACGGGGCACAAUGCAUGACAAGUUUCCCUUAAGAUCAAAUGCCUUAAUGGCAUCCACCUUUUUGCAAAUAUUUUUCUUCUUUGGCAAUACGUAUAUCAGCAUUAUUCGGCUCAUUUCUGCCAAACUGAAUAUACAGUGUAGCAUUCGAACUUGGCUAGUCAGAUCCCUCAUCAGUCAAAUCAUUUGAUUCAAUUAUGGGCGCAAAUUUCAAGAGUCACUAUCAGAAGCCGCUCUAUUUCUUUGCAUGUUUUCCGAAGGGAGACAUUUGACCGAGUCAAUGGUUUAGGAGUUUGGCACAUAACAGUCAGUAAAUAUUAGUGAUAGCAUAUAUUGUCACCUAAUAUUAUUAUUUUUAAAGUUUAACAGUUCCAUAAAUAUUAUUCAGUGACAAAUAAGUAAUAUUUAAAGAUAAAUUAACUUGUCAUUAAUAUUAUUUUUAGUGACUUUUUUUUCAUGGCAAAAUUUAUUUGCCACCAGACCUACUGUGACAAUUUAUAGUGGUGGUAUUUGUCGUCACUAACACUAUUAGUGACAAUUUUUUUAUUUUAGAUGAUAAUUUGUUAUUGCCACUGAAAAUUUUUUUUUUUGUACUGGGCAUGUUUAGUUCAUGAUUAGAAUAGAGAUAGAAAAUGAAAUUAGAUUGCUUUAAAAUGAAAAAUGGAACGAUGAUUGAUCCAAAAAUAUUUGGUUCAUUACUAGAACGCAAAUUGGCGUGAAAUGAGAAUCUAGGAUUUUGAAAGAGCGUUUUGAUUAAGAAAGAGGAGUGAUGAAGGGAGAGGAGAGGAAGUUGUUUGUGAGAGAGGAUUUUGAGUAUUUUGGAAUUGGCAAAUUCAGGAUCCAAGCUAGAUUGGCCUACAACAAAAAUGGUGUAUAUCCACACUUUUAAAUGUCGGUACAGGUCAAAAAAAAGUGCUGCUGGCUAAAUUGCCGGCACUUUUUAAAACUGUUGCUAUAUUUGAUGUCGCUAUAUGUAGGGCCGCCUUAAUGCUUGUCGCCCACUCCUUUAGGGAUCUAUGGCGGAGAGACACGUGGCGAUCGUAGCCCUCUACGAUCCCUAUGAGAUCCUCGCGGCCGAACUCCACUCGCUGGAAUCCUACCUCAUCGGCUGCGACGGUGAAGGAGGAGAACGAGAGAUGGUGAUCAUUUUUUUUUUCCCUUUCUAUUUGUAAUUGAGCCGAUCAGGCUGGGUGGGGUUAGUUGAGUAGAAGAACUUUUUAUUUUUGAUUGGAUUGAGCUUUAUAUUUAGGUUUUAAUAGAUUUUUAAAAAAGUUUUAGUCAUAAAUAGGAGACUUACACAAAAAUAUCCGAAAAAUGUAUUCUUAUAAGCUAAUUUUGUUGUAGUGUGGAUCAUAAAUGAAUUUAGCCAUUUCCAUUUCCAAGUAAAAUAGGAAUUGAAAUUCGAUUUUUGUUAAACAAGCAAAAACUAUCGAAAUAAAUAUAUGGCAUUCCUAUUCCAUACUCUAAACUAGGUGAAUCAAACAUGCCCAUAAUGUCAUUUUUGAAUAAGAAAUAACUUCAUAUUAGCCAACACGGCAACACAUAAUACUGCACGUCUAU
RNAcentral lists this long non-coding RNA (3206 nucleotides) under Ananas comosus (pineapple). RNAcentral describes it as "long non-coding RNA (ACOM_LNC037102)". The record is from RNAcentral. Lineage: Eukaryota; Viridiplantae; Streptophyta; Magnoliopsida; Poales; Bromeliaceae.